UACGUAGGGGGCUAGCGUUGUCCGGAAUCAUUGGGCGUAAAGCGCGUGUAGGCGGUCCGGUAAGUCCGCUGUGAAAGUCGGGGGCCCAACCCUCGGAUGCCGGUGGAUACUGUCGGGCUUGAGUACGGAAGAGGCGAGUGGAAUUCCUGGUGUAGCGGUGAAAUGCGCAGAGAUCGGGAGGAACACCCGUAGCGAAGGCGGCACUCUGGGCCGGUACUGACGCUGAGGAGCGAAAGCGUGGGGAGCAAACAGG
This 253-nucleotide ribosomal RNA is filed under the name uncultured bacterium. RNAcentral's name for it is "partial 16S ribosomal RNA". It matches the Rfam family "Bacterial small subunit ribosomal RNA", at positions 524 to 776 of the family's 1533-position model. The record is from RNAcentral.